UUACGGGAGGCAGCAGUGGGGAAUUUUGCGCAAUGGGGGAAACCCUGACGCAGCAACGCCGCGUGGAGGAUGAAGGUCCUUGGAUUGUAAACUCCUGUCGGCAGGGACAAAGGCCCGCGACCUAACACGUCGUUGGGAUUGAUGGUACCUGCGGAGGAAGCCCCGGCUAACUCUGUGCCAGCAGCCGCGGUAAUACAGAGGGGGCAAGCGUUAUUCGGAAUUAUUGGGCGUAAAGGGCGCGUAGGCGGCCUGACAAGUGGAAGGUGAAAUCCCUCGGCUCAACCGAGGAGCUGCCUUUCAAACUGUUUGGCUUGAAUCCGGGAGAGGUGAGUGGAAUUCCCAGUGUAGCGGUGAAAUGCGUAGAUAUUGGGAGGAACACCAGUGGCGAAGGCGGCUCACUGGACCGGCAUUGACGCUGAGGCGCGAAAGCGUGGGGAGCAAACAGGAUUAGAUACCCCUGUA
Molecule: ribosomal RNA, 462 nt
Filed under: uncultured bacterium
Lineage: Bacteria
Description: bacterial SSU rRNA
Rfam family: Bacterial small subunit ribosomal RNA
Source: RNAcentral